This is a long non-coding RNA of Labeo rohita (rohu), 1723 nucleotides long. RefSeq lists it as uncharacterized. Lineage: Eukaryota; Metazoa; Chordata; Actinopteri; Cypriniformes; Cyprinidae. The record is from RefSeq and is a predicted model, not a curated record. The transcript is spliced from 3 exons.
AGGCUGGAUACGACACAAUAAACUCCACAAACUACUUUCUAAUUCCUGAUUUAAGUAAUGGCAACUACCAAAACCUCAAGAACACGAGUAACGUAAACCUUCCUGGUCGUUGGGCCUUCAUCGCAAACAGUCAAUUAAAAAGCAUCAUAGGAGUUCGAAUGAAACUUAUGUCAUUUUCAGAUCUAACACAGAGUGAAAACACUGAGGCUGUUAUGCAGAUUAUACAACAAGAGUUGGUCAGUCGUGGACUGUCAAGUAGUGUCAAGAUGAAGUUAAGAAAAGUUAAAAAGACACAGCCGUAAUAUUUCAGCCUCAUCCAUGGAUAGAAAUUAAAGCAAAGACUGGUUCGUUAAGUCUCUGAUGAUAAAUGUCAUUUCCAUUUUCAAGAGGAAUGUCACUGCACAAGAAAGGAACUUCUACAAUGUCUCACUCUUCAACUUGCUUUCUGUUUACAUACAUAUUCUUAUCAAAAUACAAACAUAAUCGAACAUAUACAAAGAAAAAAAAAGAUACAUCAGUUUUUUUCUUUGUCACAUUUAUAUGUGUUUUUCCUUUUAAACUUUAAAUGGUCUUGAUGGUCUCAGCUUCUUUCUGUUUAAUACACAGUUCAGUGAGUAAAAAACAAGCUUGCUUCAUUUGGAUUGGCAAAAAGAUAUUUUAUAUAAAAAGCAGUACACCAAUAUAUUUAAACACAGUAUAUUUGAUAAUAAUAUACAGUAGUAUAUUUGAUAUUGAAAUUAAAAAUUAAUAAGAAGAGCUUAUUUUAGUUUAUUGGUGCCUAUUGUUAAAGGGAAACUAUCUUUUUCUUUGCUCACCACGAGAGGGAGACAGCUGAGAUACUGGUGCUUUAAAACAACUGUAUAUGUUUUUUUUUUACCCCUACAUAUUAGUUUGAAAAUCAUUCUGAUGAUACACACUGACUUAUAAUAAGAUGAAUGUAUUUAAUUUCUUUCUCACCAGUUUCUCCACAUGUCUGUUUUGGGAGUAUGUAAGUUUGCUAUAAAUAUGAAAAACCAAAUCUGCAUACAGGUGAACCUCUAAAUUAAAUCAGUGUCUGGAUCCAAAAACGCCACUUUUGUGUUGUUUGCUGUGUAAUAAUCAUUUGAUGCUAUGCUAAUCGUCAAGCUCUAGUCUGUGGUGUUUGGAUGUUUGGUUUAUUUUGUUGAUUUUACUUCACAGUGAUAAACUUAACAUUUUCUGUGGUAACCUAAUUAGUUAUCACACAUUAAUAGGCUACUAGGACCUAUAACCAUUGACUAUGUUUACUUGUUAGUGUCAUACUUUUGUCAUUUUCAAGCCCUAAACUGAUGGUUAAACCACUGAAUGUAUAUCCAUACUUAAAUAUUUAUGUCAAACUGAUUGUCUUUCUACAUAUAGAAACUGUAGUCUAAAUUUCAUUUCAUUUCAUUCACUUGAACAGCAGAUAGCGAUAAAGUCUGUGUUGUUUAUUUAGUAUUUAGUUACAUCUGAUGUAUCAUCAUAUGACUAAUACUGAGAUUGUUACAAUCCUUCAGUCACCCUGACUCACAAAUCGUUUAACUAAUAAUGAAUGUUAAUAAAUGUUAGGAAGUUUCUGUAAGCACUGAAGUGUUGUGAACACAAAGUAACAUUUAUAGUGUCUAAAGAAUUACCUGUUUAUGUGUCAGCUGGAUUAUUUGCGUUUCUUAUUCAGUAUAUUAUUUGCAUACCAUUUUUGCAUUUCCAUUACCUUCAACAGCAAAUG